RNAcentral lists this ribosomal RNA (529 nucleotides) under uncultured bacterium. RNAcentral's name for it is "bacterial SSU rRNA". It matches the Rfam family "Bacterial small subunit ribosomal RNA", at positions 777 to 1304 of the family's 1533-position model. The record is from RNAcentral.
AAUAGAUACCCAGGUAGUCCACGCCGUAAACGUUGGGCGCUAGAUGUGGGGACCUUUCCACGGUUUCCGUGUCGUAGCUAACGCAUUAAGCGCCCCGCCUGGGGAGUACGGCCGCAAGGCUAAAACUCAAAGGAAUUGACGGGGGCCCGCACAAGCGGCGGAGCAUGCGGAUUAAUUCGAUGCAACGCGAAGAACCUUACCAAGGCUUGACAUAUACGAGAACGCGCCAGAAAUGGUGAACUCUUUGGACACUCGUAUACAGGUGGUGCAUGGUUGUCGUCAGCUCGUGUCGUGAGAUGUUGGGUUAAGUCCCGCAACGAGCGCAACCCUCGUCGCAUGUUGCCAGCACGUUAUGGUGGGAACUCAUGUGAGACUGCCGGGGUCAACUCGGAGGAAGGUGGGGAUGACGUCAAAUCAUCAUGCCCCUUAUGUCUUGGGCUUCACGCAUGCUACAAUGGCCGGUACAAAGGGCUGCGAUGUCGUAAGGCGGAGCGAAUCCCAAAAAGCCGGUCUCAGUUCGGAUUGAGGU